This 1333-nucleotide long non-coding RNA is filed under the name Gallus gallus (chicken). RNAcentral's name for it is "lncRNA (ENSGALG00010016343.1)". The record is from RNAcentral. Lineage: Eukaryota; Metazoa; Chordata; Aves; Galliformes; Phasianidae.
GUAAGGAUGCAGUGUUUCUUGUAAGGAACUCCUUUUGAAGAGAUCAUGCUAAAAAGGCUGCUAAAGGGAUCACUUGCUGCUGUAAUUUGUAGAAAGGAGCUCUCUUAAUUACAGUCGGAGUUUAUUGCAUCUCUCCUUCUCUCUCUCCCCCCAUGUGCGUGCAUGCAGAGAGCUCGAGAAAGCUGGCAGCGCUACCUGAAUAGCUAUUGAAAGAGUGUGCGACUUCUCAGUGCCUGCUUCAUUACUGGGUGCAGCUCUUCCCAGGCGUGAGAGAGCCUAACUGCAUUCUCCUAUCGCAAAGCCCUCGACAGAAAAUCCUCUUGCAACAGGGGCAGCUGGAUUUCCUAACAGUGAAAAUCGGGAGUUCAUCAGUGCCUCAUCAGAUUCACAGACCAACACUUUGCAGGCAACAAGCAACACUGGACAUGUCUGAGCUACACUAAUAUCCACAACCUGAAGAUUUCCUUUCAGGCUUCAGCUACAGACGUGUUGAAGGAUAGCUAUUCAGAAUUAGAAGGACCUCUCUAGUUGACAUGGAGCAUGCAAACGUCUCCAGUCUGUGCUGGGACAGUAACUGCUGUAAGGAAGAACUUCUCCUGAGAAACCACAACAAAGGUGUUUGGCUACAAGUGCACUCUCCUGGCUCAUGUUAAGUUCUACAUCUACCAGAACCUCUAAGACCUUCUCCUCACAACUGCUCUCAAGGAGUUCUCCCAGUCUAUACAUAUAUCUGGAAUUGCCCCAACCCAGGUGAAACACCUUAUACUUGGCUGUGUUGAACCUCAUUAUGUUCCUGUGGGCCUCCUUUUCAAGUCUGUCCAGGUCUCUCUGAACGGUGUCCCUUCCUUCUGUUGUGUCAAGUGCACCACUCAGCAUGGUGUCAUCAACAAACUUGAUGAGGGAACACUCAAUCCCACUAUCCAGGUCAUUAAUAAAGAUGUCAAAGAGCUUCAGCCCCAAGACAGACCUUGGGGGACAUCAUUUGUCACUGGCCAUUGCCUGGACAUAGAGCUGUUGACUACAACACUCUGGCGUCUGUUGAACUAAUUCUUUAUUCACUGAACAGUCCAUCCUUCAAAUCCAUAUAUCUUUAAUUUAGACAUAAGAAUGUGGUGUGGGACCAAAGGCCUUGCACAGGUCCAGGAUCUGCCUUGAUGUGCCGUAUUUCCUCCCUUUGCUCCCUGAUAGAAGUUCCUUUGGCAUUUCUUCAGGAUAUCAGGGACCGACUACCUUAGUUAAUCCACGUAUGAGUGGCCAUGAGAUAAAACCUUUUAGAUUUGUUAGUCCCAUGCUAGCGAACUCCUUUACCCAGAGCUCUGUGAAACACACAAGC